This 349-nucleotide ribosomal RNA is filed under the name uncultured bacterium. RNAcentral describes it as "bacterial SSU rRNA". It matches the Rfam family "Bacterial small subunit ribosomal RNA", at positions 8 to 349 of the family's 1533-position model. The record is from RNAcentral.
AGAGUUUGAUCCUGGCUCAGGAUGAACGCUAGCUACAGGCUUAACACAUGCAAGUCGAGGGGAAACGACAUCGAAAGCUUGCUUUUGAUGGGCGUCGACCGGCGCACGGGUGAGUAACGCGUAUCCAACCUGCCCAUCACUUGGGGAUAACCUUGCGAAAGUAAGACUAAUACCCAAUGAUAUCUCUAGAAGGCAUCUGAAAGAGAUUAAAGAUUUAUCGGUGAUGGAUGGGGAUGCGUCUGAUUAGCUUGUUGGCGGGGUAACGGCCACAAGCAACGNUCAGUAGGGGUUCUGAGAGGAAGGUCCCCCACAUUGGAACUGAGACACGGUCCAAACUCCUACGGGAGCA